Molecule: microRNA, 20 nt
Filed under: Callorhinchus milii (elephant shark)
Lineage: Eukaryota; Metazoa; Chordata; Chondrichthyes; Chimaeriformes; Callorhinchidae
Description: eshark_NOVEL_43
Source: RNAcentral
UGGUUUUGAUUGCUCUCAAG